AACGCGAAGAACCUUACCUGGGCUUGAACCGCACAGGACCAGCCUCAGAAAUGGGGCCUUCCCGCAAGGGACCUGUGUAGAGGUGCUGCAUGGCUGUCGUCAGCUCGUGCCGUGAGGUGUUGGGUUAAGUCCCGCAACGAGCGCAACCCUUACUCAUAGUUGCUACCCGCAAGGGAGAACUCUAUGAGGACUGCUCCGGAUAACGGAGAGGAAGGUGGGGAUGAGGUCAAGUCAGCAUGGCCUUUAUGUCCAGGGCUACACACGUGUUACAAUGCGCGCCACAAAGCGUUGCAAACCCGCGAGGGGGAGCUAAUCGCAAAAAAGCGCGCUCAGUUCGGAUUGCAGUCUGCAACUCGACUGCAUGAAGCCGGAAUCGCUAGUAAUGGCGCAUCAGAACGGCGCCGUGAAUACGUUCCCGGGCCUUGUA
RNAcentral lists this ribosomal RNA (427 nucleotides) under uncultured Acidobacteriota bacterium. RNAcentral describes it as "bacterial SSU rRNA". It matches the Rfam family "Bacterial small subunit ribosomal RNA", at positions 958 to 1385 of the family's 1533-position model. The record is from RNAcentral. Lineage: Bacteria; Pseudomonadati; Acidobacteriota.